This 487-nucleotide ribosomal RNA is filed under the name uncultured bacterium. Its description in RNAcentral is "bacterial SSU rRNA". It matches the Rfam family "Bacterial small subunit ribosomal RNA", at positions 29 to 534 of the family's 1533-position model. The record is from RNAcentral.
AUUGAACGCUGGCGGAAUGCUUUACACAUGCAAGUCGAGCGGCAGCGCGGGGGCAACCCUGGCGGCGAGCGGCGAACGGGUGAGUAACAUAUCGGAACGUACCCAGUCGUGGGGGAUAACUAUCCGAAAGGAUAGCUAAUACCGCAUACGUCCUGAGGGAGAAAGCGGGGGAUCGCAAGACCUCGCGCGAUUGGAGCGGCCGAUAUCGGAUUAGCUAGUUGGUGGGGUAAAGGCUCACCAAGGCGACGAUCCGUAGCGGGUCUGAGAGGACGACCCGCCACACUGGAACUGAGACACGGUCCAGACUCCUACGGGAGGCAGCAGUGGGGAAUAUUGGACAAUGGGCGAAAGCCUGAUCCAGCAAUGCCGCGUGAGUGAUGAAGGCCUUAGGGUUGUAAAGCUCUUUUACCAGGGAUGAUAAUGACAGUACCUGGAGAAUAAGCUCCGGCUAACUCCGUGCCAGCAGCCGCGGUAAAGUCGAAUAUCG